This 519-nucleotide ribosomal RNA is filed under the name uncultured eukaryote. Its description in RNAcentral is "partial 18S ribosomal RNA". It matches the Rfam family "Eukaryotic small subunit ribosomal RNA", at positions 1161 to 1396 of the family's 1831-position model. The record is from RNAcentral.
AGGGCACCACCAGGAGUGGAGCCUGCGGCUUAAUUUGACUCAACACAGGAAAACUUACCCGGCCCGGACACUGUAAGGAUUGACAGAUUGAGAGCUCUUUCUUGAUUCGGUGGUUGGUGGUGCAUGGCCGUUCAUAGGUGGUGUAUCUUUUUUUUUUUUUUUUUCCGAUAAGAGAUAACCUGGAGCGAUAUUGGAACCCGUGGCUGGGUGUGGGGCGUUUUUUUUUAAACAUUAAAACCAAAUGCCCCCCCCCCGCCCAAAUUUCCCGUUCGGGGGGGUUUUAAAAUUUUUUCCCGGGCCCCCCGCGCCCGGGGGGCAACCCCCCCCCGGGGGGGGCAACCCCGGAAGGGGGGGCUUUUUUGGGUCUCCCCCCGGGGGGGAAAAAGGUUUGGGGCCUCUCCCAAAAGGGGGGGGAAAAAAUUUUAAAGCGCGAGAAUUUUCCCCCCCCAAAAAAGUGGGGGGCCUCACACACACUCUCUUUGGAAAGAGUGAGAGAACCCCCUCUUGCAAAAGAUUUUU